UCCCAUUCAGCACGGGCAGUCCUGCUAGAGUGCACCCUUUCGGGUUUGCAACUAACAGCAAGGGUUUCGCUCGUUACAGCACUUAAGCUAACAUCUCACGACACGAGCUGACGACAGCCAUGCAACACCUGAUGAAUGCUCCUCUUUCGAGGUCGUCACCCUUUCAGGCUUCUACUAUGUGCAUGUCAAGGCCAGGUAAGGUUCUUCGCGUUGCAUCGAAUUAAGCCACAUACUCCACCGCUUGUGCAGGCCCCCGUCAAUUUCUUUGAGUUUCAGCCUUGCGACCGUACUCCCCAGGCGGGGCACUUAAUGCGUUAGCUUCGGCACUGCAGGGGUCGAUACCCGCAACACCAAGUGCCCAUCGUUUACAGCUAGGACUAC
This 381-nucleotide unclassified non-coding RNA is filed under the name uncultured bacterium. Its description in RNAcentral is "contains 16S-23S intergenic spacer region". The record is from RNAcentral.